GACGAACGCUGGCGGCGUGCUUAACACAUGCAAGUCGAACGGAAAGGCCCUGCUUUUGUGGGGUGCUCGAGUGGCGAACGGGUGAGUAACACGUGAGUAACCUGCCCUUGACUUUGGGAUAACUUCAGGAAACUGGGGCUAAUACCGGAUAGGAGCUCCUGCUGCAUGGUGGGGGUUGGAAAGUUUCGGCGGUUGGGGAUGGACUCGCGGCUUAUCAGCUUGUUGGUGGGGUAGUGGCUUACCAAGGCUUUGACGGGUAGCCGGCCUGAGAGGGUGACCGGCCACAUUGGGACUGAGAUACGGCCCAGACUCCUACGGGAGGCAGCAGUGGGGAAUAUUGCACAAUGGGCGGAAGCCUGAUGCAACAACGCCGCGUGCGGGAUGACGGCCUUCGGGUUGUAAACCGCUUUCGCCUGUGACGAAGCGUGAGUGACGGUAAUGGGUAAAGAAGCACCGGCUAACUACGUGCCAGCAGCCGCGGUGAUACGUAGGGUGCGAGCGUUGUCCGGAUUUAUUGGGCGUAAAGGGCUCGUAGGUGGUUGAUCGCGUCGGAAGUGUAAUCUUGGGGCUUAACCCUGAGCGUGCUUUCGAUACGGGUUGACUUGAGGAAGGUAGGGGAGAAUGGAAUUCCUGGUGGAGCGGUGGAAUGCGCAGAUAUCAGGAGGAACACCAGUGGCGAAGGCGAUUCUCUGGGCCUUUCCUGACGCUGAGGAGCGAAAGCGUGGGGAGCGAACAGGCUUAGAUACCCUGGUAGUCCACGCUGUAAACGGUGGGUACUAGGUGUGGGGUCCAUUCCACGGGUUCCGUGCCGUAGCUAACGCUUUAAGUACCCCGCCUGGGGAGUACGGCCGCAAGGCUAAAACUCAAAGGAAUUGACGGGGCCCCGCACAAGCGGCGGAGCAUGCGGAUUAAUUCGAUGCAACGCGUAGAACCUUACCUGGGUUUGACAUGGAUCGGGAGUGCUCAGAGAUGGGUGUGCCUCUUUUGGGGUCGGUUCACAGGUGGUGCAUGCCUGUCGUCAGCUCGUGUCGUGAGAUGUUGGGUUAAGUCCCGCAACGAGCGCAACCCUUGUUCACUGUUGCCAGCACGUUAUGGUGGGGACUCAGUGGAGACCGCCGGGGUCAACUCGGAGGAAGGUGGGGAUGACGUCAAGUCCUCAUGCCCCUUAUGUCCAGGGCUUCACGCAUGCUACAAUGGCUGGUACAGAGAGUGGCGAGCCUGUGAGGGUGAGCGAAUCUCGGAAAGCCGGUCUCAGUUCGGAUUGGGGUCUGCAACUCGACCUCAUGAAGUCGGAGUCGCUAGUAAUCGCAGAUCAGCAACGCUGCGGUGAAUACGUUCCCGGG
RNAcentral lists this ribosomal RNA (1343 nucleotides) under uncultured bacterium. RNAcentral describes it as "16S ribosomal RNA". It matches the Rfam family "Bacterial small subunit ribosomal RNA", at positions 28 to 1378 of the family's 1533-position model. The record is from RNAcentral.